CAAGUCGAGUGCGCGUCCGUAGCAAUACGGAUGGCGCACGGCGCACGGGUGCGUAACACGUGGGCAAUCUGCCCUCGGAUGGGGGAUAACCCGCCGAAAGGCGAGCNAAUACCGCAUGACAUUCCCAGGACUCCGGUCCAGGGACUCAAAGGCCGCAAGGCCGUCUGAGGAGGAGCCCGCGCCCGAUUAGCUAGUUGGUGAGGUAACGGCUCACCAAGGCUUUGAUCGGUAGCCGGUCUGAGAGGAUGGCCGGCCACACUGGAACUGAGACACGGUCCAGACUCCUACGGGAGGCAGCAGUGGGGAAUAUUGCGCAAUGGGCGAAAGCCUGACGCAGCGACGCCGCGUGGGGGAUGAAGCUUUUCGGAGUGUAAACCCCUUUCGACCCGGACGAAUGACCCGCAAGGGUUUGACGGUACGGGUAUAAGAAGCCCCGGCUAACUACGUGCCAGCAGCCGCGGUAAUACGUAGGGGGCCAGCGUUGCUCGGAAUUACUGGGCGUAAAGGGUUCGUAGGUGGUGCGGCAAGUUGGAAGUGAAAUCUCUGGGCUUAACCCAGAGGCUGCUUUCAAAACUGCCGCGCUCGAGUGCGAGAGAGGUCAGUGGAAUUGCAGGUGUAGCGGUGAAAUGCGUAGAUAUCUGCAGGAACACCCGUGGCGAAGGCGGCUGACUGGAUCGCAACUGACACUGAGGAACGAAAGCUAGGGGAGCAAACAGGAUUAGAUACCCUGGUAGUCUUAGCCCUAAACCAUCGGAACUUGGGGUGGCCCGCGUAGGCGGGUCGUCCCGUAGCUAACGCGUUAAGUUCCGCGCCUGGGGAGUACGGUCGCAAGACUGAAACUCAAAGGAAUUGACGGGGGCCC
RNAcentral lists this ribosomal RNA (862 nucleotides) under uncultured Bacillota bacterium. RNAcentral's name for it is "bacterial SSU rRNA". It matches the Rfam family "Bacterial small subunit ribosomal RNA", at positions 58 to 922 of the family's 1533-position model. The record is from RNAcentral. Lineage: Bacteria; Bacillati; Bacillota.